RNAcentral lists this long non-coding RNA (830 nucleotides) under Gallus gallus (chicken). The record is from RNAcentral. Lineage: Eukaryota; Metazoa; Chordata; Aves; Galliformes; Phasianidae.
CUGAGGGUACCACAAGACACUUGCUUUGCAAGAGAAAUUGUUCAAGAUUAGUAUUUUAAAAUUCUGCUGUUUGGAUGACUGGUUUAAUAGCCUAAGAAAACAAUUACAGCAGUAAAGCCACAGGCACGCUGUGGGAUGCUGCAGCAGCCAAGAUGCAGGGUGCUGUGCCAAGCACUGCGCUGGGGCUCUGCCGACUGGGCUGCGGGUGCUGCUCCGUCAGCUGCAAAAGUGGCACAGGGUGUUUGCAAAAUCACUCAUUUCACUCUGUUCAGGUGUUUGUUGAUCACUCAUAGUGAAGGUUUUAGAAACGAAGCUCAGAGCUGUUUCUAGUUGAAAUGGUUUGAAAAAGCUGUUGCUGAUUGCUGCAGGACAGGCUGUCCGGAGAACAAGCUUUGACAUCCAUGCAAAGCCCCGGCCAUUGCGUGGCAGUCACCAAUGUGCUGCCAAUGGGCUCUGCUGGGAGGGUCAGAUUCCUGCCACCACUGGGCAGCCUUCUGGGGGUGAUUAGAAUGAAUUGGACAUUUUUAUUGGAAAUUUGGAAAUAUUUUUCAGCUCGGAAUCAAAUUACUCUCUCAGGGGACAACCUAUAAACUCCUUAAACUUCUAACAUUUUGUUUCUACAUUUCAUAAAUAUAUGCUUAUUUAUAAUUUAAGAAAACCAGCACUAGAACAAAAUAAUUCGUUCUCUUUCAACCACGCUAUUAAAUACUUUUACCUAAAUUUUGUUUGUGAGGGUAAAGUGAAUGAUUUAAUCUGAACCCCUUCAACCUCCAAAUAUUUUACCUCAGAGCAAAUAUUUCUUUACACUGAUCCUGAAGAGACUUUCCGAG